GGGCAGUUAGCUCAGCGGUAGAGCGGUAGUCUUACACACUAUUGGUCGGGGGUUCGAUCCCCUCACUGCCCACCA
This 75-nucleotide transfer RNA is filed under the name Terrimicrobium sacchariphilum. Its description in RNAcentral is "tRNA-Val". It matches the Rfam family "tRNA". Rfam says of the family: Transfer RNA (tRNA) molecules are approximately 80 nucleotides in length. Their secondary structure includes four short double-helical elements and three loops (D, anti-codon, and T loops). Further hydrogen bonds mediate the characteristic L-shaped molecular structure. tRNAs have two regions of fundamental functional importance: the anti-codon, which is responsible for specific mRNA codon recognition, and the 3' end, to which the tRNAs corresponding amino acid is attached (by aminoacyl-tRNA synthetases). tRNAs cope with the degeneracy of the genetic code in two manners: having more than one tRNA (with a specific anti-codon) for a particular amino acid; and 'wobble' base-pairing, i.e. permitting non-standard base-pairing at the 3rd anti-codon position. The record is from RNAcentral. RNAcentral also lists the same sequence under 2 other names. Lineage: Bacteria; Pseudomonadati; Verrucomicrobiota; Terrimicrobiia; Terrimicrobiales; Terrimicrobiaceae.